CAAUUCUCCAUGAGGUAACUUUAUAAUUUUCCAAGGCAAAAGAGCCCCUGACCAAUUCGAAACAAAAAUAAAUAGGAACAAAGUUCCAAUAAACGGAACCCACGGACCAUAUUCUUCUCCAAUCUGAGUUUUGCUCACGUCUCGGAUGAAUUCAAGGACAUAUUCAAAGAAAUUCUGACCGGACGUUGGAAUAGUUUGCGGAUUUCUAACAACUAGAAUGGUUGAAAUUAAUAAGAUAG
RNAcentral lists this long non-coding RNA (239 nucleotides) under Medicago truncatula (barrel medic). RNAcentral describes it as "long non-coding RNA (MTRU_LNC008524)". Lineage: Eukaryota; Viridiplantae; Streptophyta; Magnoliopsida; Fabales; Fabaceae. The record is from RNAcentral.